GUGGAUUUUAUGGUUGUUUGCAACAGGUUUUUGCUGCUAUUUUAGAGGUCGUUUUGACUGAAGAAACGGAGCUAUUUUCAAGCUUGUUUUGAUGUGUUUUGAACUGAUUUUGAUGGCUGAAAUACUGGAGCUUCAAGGCUGGUUUUGAUGGUGAAAAGUUCGUUGUUUUCUGGUUUGAGAAGAAAGAAAGAAGGAGAUACGUUGGGGAGGGGGUGUUCUACCCGUGUAUAUCCGCGGUAUAUCGAGUGUAUAUCGAAGGUAUACCCUGUCCGCGUUUUUGGGAAGGGGGGUGUUCUUUUGCCAGAAAAAUGGGUAGUGGUUGGGUGGUUUGAAGAAGAUGAAGAGAGGAGAGGGGGCUGGUGUCUAAGGUGUUCUGCCCGUGU
This 383-nucleotide long non-coding RNA is filed under the name Nicotiana tabacum (common tobacco). RNAcentral describes it as "long non-coding RNA (NTAB_LNC005615)". Lineage: Eukaryota; Viridiplantae; Streptophyta; Magnoliopsida; Solanales; Solanaceae. The record is from RNAcentral.